UACGGAGGGGGCUAGCGUUGUUCGGAAUUACUGGGCGUAAAGGGCGCGUAGGCGGCGCGAUAAGUUGGGCGUGAAAGGCCCGGGCUCAACCCGGGGACUGCGCUUGAUACUGUCGCGCUGUGAGUCCGGGAGAGGAUGGCGGAAUUCCCAGUGUAGAGGUGAAAUUCGUAGAUAUUGGGAAGAACACCGGUGGCGAAGGCGGCCAUCUGGACCGGCACUGACGCUGAGGCGCGAAAGCGU
Molecule: ribosomal RNA, 240 nt
Filed under: uncultured bacterium
Lineage: Bacteria
Description: partial 16S ribosomal RNA
Rfam family: Bacterial small subunit ribosomal RNA
Source: RNAcentral